RNAcentral lists this transfer RNA (73 nucleotides) under Ignavibacteria bacterium. RNAcentral describes it as "tRNA-Arg". It matches the Rfam family "tRNA". Rfam says of the family: Transfer RNA (tRNA) molecules are approximately 80 nucleotides in length. Their secondary structure includes four short double-helical elements and three loops (D, anti-codon, and T loops). The record is from RNAcentral. RNAcentral also lists the same sequence under 1 other name. Lineage: Bacteria; Pseudomonadati; Ignavibacteriota; Ignavibacteria.
GCAUCCGUAGCUCAAUGGAUAGAGCGUCUGAUUCCGGUUCACAAGGUUGGGGGUUCGAGUCCCUCCGGGUGCG